Molecule: ribosomal RNA, 401 nt
Filed under: Bacillus subtilis
Lineage: Bacteria; Bacillati; Bacillota; Bacilli; Caryophanales; Bacillaceae
Description: bacterial SSU rRNA
Rfam family: Bacterial small subunit ribosomal RNA
Source: RNAcentral
AUGUUAGCGGCGGACGGGUGAGUAACACGUGGGUAACCUGCCUGUAAGACUGGGAUAACUCCGGGAAACCGGGGCUAAUACCGGAUGGUUGUUUGAACCGCAUGGUUCAAACAUAAAAGGUGGCUUCGGCUACCACUUACAGAUGGACCCGCGGCGCAUUAGCUAGUUGGUGAGGUAACGGCUCACCAAGGCAACGAUGCGUAGCCGACCUGAGAGGGUGAUCGGCCACACUGGGACUGAGACACGGCCCAGACUCCUACGGGAGGCAGCAGUAGGGAAUCUUCCGCAAUGGACGAAAGUCUGACGGAGCAACGCCGCGUGAGUGAUGAAGGUUUUCGGAUCGUAAAGCUCUGUUGUUAGGGAAGAACAAGUACCGUUCGAAUAGGGCGGUACCUUGACGG